GCUGGCGGCGCGCUUAACACAUGCAAGUCGAGCGAGAACUGGUCCUUCGGGACCGGGGAAAGCGGCGAACGGGUGAGUAACACGUGAGUAAUCCACCCUCGGCACUGGGAUAGCCCGGGGAAACCCGGAUUAAUACCGGAUGGCCCAACAGCUCUUCGGGGCGGUUGGAAAAGGUAGCUUUGGCCUCCGGCCGAGGACGAGCUCGCGGCGGAUUAGCUUGUUGGUGGGGUAACGGCCUACCAAGGCGACGAUCCGUAGCUGGUCUGAGAGGACGAUCAGCCACACUGGGACUGAGACACGGCCCAGACUCCUACGAGAGGCAGCAGUGGGGAAUCUUGCGCAAUGGGCGAAAGCCUGACGCAGCGACGCCGCGUGAGGGAAGAAGGCUUUCGGGUUGUAAACCUCUUUCAGGAGGGACGAAGCUACUCGGGUUAAUAGCCCAGAGGGUGACGGUACCUCCAGAAGAAGCCCCGGCUAACUACGUGCCAGCAGCCGCGGUAAUACGUAGGGGGCAAGCGUUGUCCGGAUUUAUUGGGCGUAAAGAGCGUGUAGGCGGCCAGAUAGGUCCGUUGUGAAAACUCGAGGCUCAACCUCGAGACGCCGAUGGAAACCAUUUGGCUAGAGUCCGGAAGAGGAGAGUGGAAUUCCUGGUGUAGCGGUGAAAUGCGCAGAUAUCAGGAAGA
This 683-nucleotide ribosomal RNA is filed under the name uncultured bacterium. RNAcentral's name for it is "bacterial SSU rRNA". It matches the Rfam family "Bacterial small subunit ribosomal RNA", at positions 35 to 705 of the family's 1533-position model. The record is from RNAcentral.